Non-coding RNA from Acanthosepion pharaonis, 100 nucleotides. The record is from the annotation of a GenBank genome assembly. NCBI's taxonomy places the organism in Eukaryota, Metazoa, Mollusca, Cephalopoda, Sepiida, Sepiidae.
AACGUUGAAACAUUGGUUCCCGCACGAUUGCCGAAGUUAAAAAACGUUGAGCCUGGUCAGUACUUAGAAGGGUGACCUUUUGGGAAUACUAAGUGCUGUU